AAGUAGUUUACUGUUGAUGUAUUAAACUGAUAAAUAUAUUGUUAUUUUUCAGAAGUCAUUGUAAGCUGUGAGAAUGUGACUGGAUCUGUGGGUAAAGAAGUAACUCUCACCUGCAGCGUCUCUCUGCUGUUCACUGAAUGCUGCAUUGUAAUGUAUAUGUUUCAAUACCCUGAGAGCAUUAAUGACUCCGUAAUCUGUCGUCAAGACUUUCCUAAUGACUCCUGUGAACUGAGAAACAGCUUCACAUGCCGCUACACUCCAACUACAGCAAUGACAGAACAAUUCAGAUUCUUUGUGCAAACAACGUGUGUAGUGGGCAAAUCAAAAUUCACUGUGGACACAUCAGUUUCCUCAGAACAUAUAAACCCAGAAAACCCAUCAGGAUCCUCUCCACCAGAGACAGCAGCAGGAUCCAAGGAUACUGUCAUCUCUGUGCUUGUGAGUGGUUUCAUCAUCAUCAUCCUCCUCAUCAUCAUGAUGGCGAUCAUUUGCAAAACAAAACCGAACUUCACCAAACUUUGUAGAUGCCAGAACUGGAUGUUUUUGAGUGUCAGACAUGAUGAGGACAACAAUCGUCCAGAAAAUGAGAUAUAAUAGCAUUGAGUUUUGUUCAUUGUGACUUUACAUGUGAUGCUCAUGAAACACACAAGCUUUGUUUGAACUCUACACUAUUCUACAUCUUAUAUCUCAAACUACUAAA
RNAcentral lists this long non-coding RNA (700 nucleotides) under Sinocyclocheilus grahami. RNAcentral describes it as "lncRNA (ENSSGRG00000007552.1)". Lineage: Eukaryota; Metazoa; Chordata; Actinopteri; Cypriniformes; Cyprinidae. The record is from RNAcentral.